This 1377-nucleotide long non-coding RNA is filed under the name Heterocephalus glaber (naked mole-rat). Its description in RNAcentral is "lncRNA (ENSHGLG00100047383.1)". The record is from RNAcentral. Lineage: Eukaryota; Metazoa; Chordata; Mammalia; Rodentia; Bathyergidae.
AAGCUGUCCCUUUAACUGUCACCUACCCCAUGCUUUCUAGGAAGUUAAUCUCUUGUUCUUUAUUUUUCUUCUAUCUGUUUCAUCUGGUAUGAGGCCAAUUCAUGCAAUUCCUCCUCAGUUGAAUCCAAAUUUUGUUUUCAGAAUGUGAUGGUCUCAAAAGUUUGAAAGUUAUUGACCAUCUUGGGCAAUAAUCAGUUAUGGGGACAUAUAUGAACUUUAAUCUGCCGCUUUAUAUUUGAAGUGGGCCUUAACCAUGGUUUUGGUUCCUUCUGCUACAUAAACGUGAGGUUGGAGCCAAAGUCCCAGCCUUGCAGUAAUGCGAUUAUGGAGGAGCAUUUCUUGGCAGAUUUGCGUGUUUGCAUUUUUUGUUGUUGUUGUUGCUGGGGAUCAAACCCAGAACCUCACAAAUCUUAAGCAAGUACUUUACCACUGAGCUCUACCCCUGGCCCCAUAAACUUGCCUGAGUUUUUGUUCCUUUUAAUUUAUAAAGAAGCCUUUAUAGCAUAGUUAUAAUGGAGCUGAGCUGCUAGAGAGCAGCUGCGCCCCAGAGGUGUGGUGGAGGGCUUGCCUGGACGCAGCCACAGCCCGCAGGGCCAGGCUCUCAUCCUUGGCCACAAACGCACAAGGAAAAGCUUGGUGACCCUAAGCUCUUUUUAGAGCUUCACUGCAGUUGUGAAGCGUCGCAGUUUACACGCACAGGAGCACCGUUCGCUUCAGGAUGGACUGGAACAUCAUGGCACUGUCCUGGGGUUAAUCAGAGAAGGCCCGGAUUUUCUGGGACUAGUGGUGAGGCCCCUCAACACAGUUGGCAAUCACAAAUCUGAGCAGUACGGAAAGGGGUUUGGACUGGACCAGAACUGCCUGUGGUUGGGUUUCAAAAUGCAGAGGCGCCAGAGGCUGGUAUCAGCCUGCUGUGUGGUCCCCUUGCUCAGACCAUAGCUGGGGGGCUUGCUUGGAGCUUUCAUUACAAGUGUGGAUCACUCAUUCUUUGCGGGUUUAUGAAGCACCCUAAACCCUGAGGUGAAAUAUGGCAAUCAGCUGUUUCUCUCUGGAGGCCCCGGCUGGAUGGGUUUUGCCUGGUUAUCAGAGUGGCAAAACUAGAUGAGGCCACGUGUAUGCUACACAUUGUUGGGGUGUGAAACCACAUUGCGCUUAAUUUGAUAAUUUUGAUAGAUUCAAUAUCAGAGUAAUUGCUGGCCUCUAUUGGGAGUUCUGAGAAUAUUCUUUCAUUUUCCUAAUAAGUGGUAUUCUGUUGUCCCAAAGCCUGUCUUCUCCUUGGCUGACCUGUGGGGAGAUGGACGGUACAGUCAUAUUCCUGAGGACUGUUCUGUACGUUAGGGUUUACAAAGCGCUUCCGUUUAUACAGUUUCAUUCCAG